This 537-nucleotide ribosomal RNA is filed under the name Streptomyces sp. SAUK6018. RNAcentral describes it as "bacterial SSU rRNA". It matches the Rfam family "Bacterial small subunit ribosomal RNA", at positions 129 to 680 of the family's 1533-position model. Lineage: Bacteria; Bacillati; Actinomycetota; Actinomycetes; Kitasatosporales; Streptomycetaceae. The record is from RNAcentral.
CCCUUCACUCUGGGACAAGCCCUGGAAACGGGGUCUAAUACCGGAUGACACUCCUACUCGCAUGGGUGGGGGUUGAAAGCUCCGGCGGUGAAGGAUGAGCCCGCGGCCUAUCAGCUUGUUGGUGAGGUAGUGGCUCACCAAGGCGACGACGGGUAGCCGGCCUGAGAGGGCGACCGGCCACACUGGGACUGAGACACGGCCCAGACUCCUACGGGAGGCAGCAGUGGGGAAUAUUGCACAAUGGGCGAAAGCCUGAUGCAGCGACGCCGCGUGAGGGAUGACGGCCUUCGGGUUGUAAACCUCUUUCAGCAGGGAAGAAGCGAAAGUGACGGUACCUGCAGAAGAAGCGCCGGCUAACUACGUGCCAGCAGCCGCGGUAAUACGUAGGGCGCAAGCGUUGUCCGGAAUUAUUGGGCGUAAAGAGCUCGUAGGCGGUCUGUCGCGUCGGAUGUGAAAGCCCGGGGCUUAACCCCGGGUCUGCAUUCGAUACGGGCAGACUAGAGUGUGGUAGGGGAGAUCGGAAUUCCUGGUGUAGCG